This 348-nucleotide unclassified non-coding RNA is filed under the name soil metagenome. RNAcentral's name for it is "partial contains 5.8S ribosomal RNA, internal transcribed spacer 2, and large subunit ribosomal RNA". The stretch from base 1 to 120 matches the Rfam family "5.8S ribosomal RNA", at positions 35 to 154 of the family's 154-position model. The record is from RNAcentral.
GAUGAAGAACGUAGCGAAAUGCGAUAAGUAAUGUGAAUUGCAGAAUUCAGUGAAUCAUCGAGUCUUUGAACGCACAUUGCGCCCCCUGGUAUUCCGGGGGGCAUGCCUGUCCGAGCGUCAUUGCCGCCCUCAAGCACGGCUUGUGUGUUGGGCCCCCGCCCCCCGGCUUCGGGGGGCGGGCCCGAAAGGCAGCGGCGGCACCGCGUCCGGUCCUCGAGCGUAUGGGGCUUCGUCACCCGCUCUGUAGGCCCGGCCUGCGCCCGCCGGCGACCCCAAUCAAUCUUUCCAGGUUGACCUCGGAUCAGGUAGGGAUACCCGCUGAACUUAAGCAUAUCAAUAAGCGGAGGA